Oncorhynchus kisutch (coho salmon) is the source of this 1158-nucleotide long non-coding RNA. RefSeq lists it as uncharacterized. The transcript has 3 exons. The record is from RefSeq and is a predicted model, not a curated record. NCBI's taxonomy places the organism in Eukaryota, Metazoa, Chordata, Actinopteri, Salmoniformes, Salmonidae.
AACUGCCAGGAUGAUUAAUGAGGGUUCGACACAAGUCUCAGUGGUUUAUGGCUUGAACGAUUUACGUGACUACUAGUAACCUGGAUUCCCUCCAUUUCUUGGCACACCUGUAGUUGCUCAGUACUCACGUGUGAUUGUACGGAGGUAGAACAAAGCCAGUGCUAUGUCUUCGGUACCAGUGUGUGUUAUCGUCUGCUGGUCCUAUCCUCAAUCGCUGGCACACUUACAAAUAUGGAACGGGGCCUCAUUAAAUUUGCUCUAUGCAACACUCUUGAAUGAUUUUUAAGGGUAUAGUAUUCCUUAAAGGGAUUUUUAAGGGUAUAGUAUUCCUUAAAGGGAUUUUUAAGGGUAUAGUAUUCCUUAAAGGGAUUUUUAAGGGUAUAGUAUUCCUUAAAGGGAUUUUUUUUUUUAAGCCUACAUAUUAAUCUCCAACACCACAUCAACAUGUAAGAAUGGUGUCUUUCUAUGUUUCGUAGCAGAGGAAGAUGUUUGUAGGCAAUGCCUACUCGCUAUUGGUCAAUCACUCAAUGCACACCGAUGUCAUUGGAAAAAACAAUUGUUAAUAUUUUUUUACUAGGAACAUCAUUUUCACAUGUUUGGUGCUGGACAAGUGUACUUUUUUAAAAGGUGGUAGACCCUUAGAAUGUUUAAUUCUACUGGGGCCCUUGUGUUUUAAGUGGUUUUACCAACUAGACUGUUUAAUGUUACUCUAUUGUCUUUAGAUGAAGAAUCCGAGGAGGAGGCUCCACCCCCAAAGAAGGCUGAAGGUCACGGCAGCCAAGGAGUAGUCCGACGAUGAUGAGGACUCUGAGGAAGAGGAGAUGGACACCACCCCGGCACCCGCAGCAAAGAAAGCAGGCAUGGUCAAGGCUAAGGAGGAGUCUGAUGAUGAAGAUGAUGACGAAGACUAUGAUGAAGAUGGAAGUUUGGCUACGUAGAAGGACGGAGGACAUGCAGACGGCCUUGGAGCUGAACGGCAAGAAGUUCAUGGGACAGGAGUUGAAGAUGGGGAAGGCCCGCAGCAAAGGGAACUACCAGGAGGAAAAAGGUACAUUUUAUAUUACUGUUACUAUUUGUAGUGCAUUGACUAAAUCUUGCUGUUUGAAACUAAGGUUUUCACAAAUGUGAUAAUUGAAUAAACUGAAGUGGUGAUUUAAA